RNAcentral lists this transfer RNA (74 nucleotides) under Marmota monax (woodchuck). RNAcentral describes it as "tRNA.Val". It matches the Rfam family "tRNA". From Rfam's summary of the family: Transfer RNA (tRNA) molecules are approximately 80 nucleotides in length. Their secondary structure includes four short double-helical elements and three loops (D, anti-codon, and T loops). Lineage: Eukaryota; Metazoa; Chordata; Mammalia; Rodentia; Sciuridae. The record is from RNAcentral.
UGUGGAUAUAGCUCAGAUGGCAGAGUGCUUGCCUCACAUGCACAAGUCCCUGGGUUCAAUCCCCAGCACCACAA